CCUACGGGUGGCAGCAGUGGGGAGUAUUGGACAAUGGGCGCAAGCCUGAUCCAGCAAUGCCGCGUGAGUGACGAAGGCCUUCGGGUUGUAAAGCUCUUUCGGUGGGGAAGAUAAUGACGGUACCCGCAGAAGAAGCCCCGGCUAACUCCGUGCCAGCAGCCGCGGUAAUACGGAGGGGGCUAGCGUUGUUCGGAUUUACUGGGCGUAAAGCGCACGUAGGCGGAUUGGCAAGUUGGGGGUGAAAUCCCGGGGCUUAACUCCGGAAUUGCCUUCAAAACUGCCAAUCUUGAGUCCGGGAGAGGUAAGUGGAAUUCCGAGUGUAGAGGUGAAAUUCGUAGAUAUUCGGAAGAACACCAGUGGCGAAGGCGGCUUACUGGUCCGGUUCUGACGCUGAGGUGCGAAAGCGUGGGUAGCAAACAGGAUUAGAUACCCUUGUAGUC
RNAcentral lists this ribosomal RNA (440 nucleotides) under uncultured bacterium. Its description in RNAcentral is "bacterial SSU rRNA". It matches the Rfam family "Bacterial small subunit ribosomal RNA", at positions 338 to 795 of the family's 1533-position model. The record is from RNAcentral.